GGAGCGGCAGACGGGUGAGUAACGCGUGGGAACGUACCUUUUGCUACGGAAUAACUCAGGGAAACUUGUGCUAAUACCGUAUGUGCCCUUCGGGGGAAAGAUUUAUCGGCAAAGGAUCGGCCCGCGUUGGAUUAGCUAGUUGGUGAGGUAAAGGCUCACCAAGGCGACGAUCCAUAGCUGGUCUGAGAGGAUGAUCAGCCACACUGGGACUGAGACACGGCCCAGACUCCUACGGGAGGCAGCAGUGGGGAAUAUUGGACAAUGGGCGCAAGCCUGAUCCAGCCAUGCCGCGUGAGUGAUGAAGGCCCUAGGGUUGUAAAGCUCUUUCACCGGUGAAGAUAAUGACGGUAACCGGAGAAGAAGCCCCGGCUAACUUCGUGCCAGCAGCCGCGGUAAUACGAAGGGGGCUAGCGUUGUUCGGAUUUACUGGGCGUAAAGCGCACGUAGGCGGACUUUUAAGUCAGGGGUGAAAUCCCGGGGCUCAACCCCGGAACUGCCUUUGAUACUGGAAGUCUUGAGUAUGGUAGAGGUGAGUGGAAUUCCGAGUGUAGAGGUGAAAUUCGUAGAUAUUCGGAGGAACACCAGUGGCGAAGGCGGCUCACUGGACCAUUACUGACGCU
Molecule: ribosomal RNA, 620 nt
Filed under: Brucella cytisi
Lineage: Bacteria; Pseudomonadati; Pseudomonadota; Alphaproteobacteria; Hyphomicrobiales; Brucellaceae
Description: bacterial SSU rRNA
Rfam family: Bacterial small subunit ribosomal RNA
Source: RNAcentral